RNAcentral lists this ribosomal RNA (198 nucleotides) under uncultured bacterium. RNAcentral describes it as "partial 16S ribosomal RNA". It matches the Rfam family "Bacterial small subunit ribosomal RNA", at positions 328 to 539 of the family's 1533-position model. The record is from RNAcentral.
ACGCUCGAUACCUACGGGAGGCAGCAGUGGGGAAUAUUGCACAAUGGGGGAAACCCUGAUGCAGCGACGCCGCGUGGAGGAAGAAGGUCUUCGGAUUGUAAACUCCUGUUGUUGGGGAAAAAGAGGAUGGUACCCAACAAGGAAGUGACGGCUAACUACGUGCAAGCAGCCGCGGUAAUCUGAGCGGGCUGGCAAGGC